GUGUGAUAAAUGUAAAAACAAAAUUCAUUCCAAGUUUAAAAAGGCAAAUGACCAUAAAAUUAUCACAAUUAAGGAAGUAGGACUUCAUGGACAUGAUUCAGGACCAAAGUUGGACGUCAGUGACAUUCCAUGUAAAGGCCAUCCCGGACAAGUCUGCUGUUUGUUCUGUAAAACAUGUAAUCACUUAGUUUGUCCAACUGGCGUGACCAAAGUCCAUAAACAGCAUGAGUUAGUAGAGAUUGAAGAAGCUUACAUGAUGAUGAAGGACCCACUGCUCAUUAGGAAAGAAAAGCUUGAAAAACGGAAAAAAGUUUGGACAAAGCAUAAAGAAACAUUAAGGAGGCUCGAGGGUAUAAAAAUUUCAGAAAAAAAAUAAACAUUUGUUUUUCAUUACAAAUUUUAUUUAUUACCUUUUGUAGUUGUUAAUUUAUCAUAUGGUACAAAAAACAUUAAAACAAUUAAUUCGUGUUGGCCCCCGAUGACUUUUAAAAUGUAAACAUCAUUGAAAAAGUUCCAAAUUAUCUCCCUUUGGUGGAAAAAUGCCAUUUUUUGGCUUUAAAAUUGAAAUAUCUCUUUUAACUCAUCGGUGACCUAUAUUUUUUAAUAUAAUUUCGAUAUAUGCUGUACUUAAACUAAAUUAUUGUAAAAUUUGAGCGAUUUCUGUAAUAAAUUUCUUUUGUCAUUUCGAUAUUACCUUUAUUUCUCCUAUUAGUUCAACAGAAAAAAACACUUUUACAAAGAUGUUUGCUUCUUUCGAAGGCAGAUUGUGAGCGCAAAUGAACGGUGACCCCAUUUUUUAAUUUUAUUUUUCUAUUAACUAUAAGAUAAAGUUCAUUUAUAUAAAAAUAUAGAGACAUCCUAUAUAAAUAAUUUAGACCCGCGAACCCCCUUAA
RNAcentral lists this long non-coding RNA (893 nucleotides) under Mytilus galloprovincialis (Mediterranean mussel). The record is from RNAcentral. Lineage: Eukaryota; Metazoa; Mollusca; Bivalvia; Mytilida; Mytilidae.